AUUUCCAUAUGUGCAAAAACUGAGAAAUUCUUCCUUGUAAGUAUAUAUCCUUUCUGUUUUGGGAAACUUCGUAGUUCUCGCUUUUCCUUUCUGGGUAUUCAAUUUCUUCCCUCCAUUUUUCACUGGUGUUGGCGAAAGAGAGAGAGAUCAGAAAAUGGUUAGGGGAAAAACCCAGAUGAAGAGAAUAGAAAAUGCUACAAGCAGGCAAGUAACCUUCUCUAAGAGAAGAAAUGGAUUGCUCAAGAAGGCCUUUGAGUUGUCAGUCCUCUGCGAUGCUGAAGUUGCACUCAUCAUCUUCUCCCCGAGAGGAAAGCUUUAUGAGUUUUCA
Molecule: long non-coding RNA, 328 nt
Filed under: Carica papaya (papaya)
Lineage: Eukaryota; Viridiplantae; Streptophyta; Magnoliopsida; Brassicales; Caricaceae
Description: long non-coding RNA (CPAP_LNC010324)
Source: RNAcentral